AACUCUGAGCGGUGGAUCACUCGGCUCGUGUGUCGAUGAAGAGCGCAGCCAACUGUGUGAAUUAAUGUGAACUGCAAACUGCUUUGAACAUCGACAUCUUGAACGCACAUUGCGGCCAUGGGUUAGCCCAUGGCCACGCCUGUCCGAGGGUCGGCUU
RNAcentral lists this ribosomal RNA (157 nucleotides) under Skrjabinoeces similis. Its description in RNAcentral is "5.8S ribosomal RNA". It matches the Rfam family "5.8S ribosomal RNA". Rfam says of the family: 5.8S ribosomal RNA (5.8S rRNA) is a component of the large subunit of the eukaryotic ribosome. It is transcribed by RNA polymerase I as part of the 45S precursor that also contains 18S and 28S rRNA. The record is from RNAcentral. Lineage: Eukaryota; Metazoa; Platyhelminthes; Trematoda; Plagiorchiida; Plagiorchiidae.